Molecule: ribosomal RNA, 292 nt
Filed under: uncultured bacterium
Lineage: Bacteria
Description: partial 16S ribosomal RNA
Rfam family: Bacterial small subunit ribosomal RNA
Source: RNAcentral
GUGCCAGCCGCCGCGGUAAGACGAACCGUCCUAACGUUGUUCGGAAUCACUGGGCUUAAAGGGCGCGUAGGCGGCUCAUCAAGUCCGGGGUGAAAGCCUCCAGCUUAACUGGAGAAGUGCCUCGGAUACUGGUGGGCUUGAGGGAGGUAGGGGCAACUGGAACUUCCGGUGGAGCGGUGAAAUGCGUUGAUAUCGGAAGGAACGCCGGUGGCGAAAGCGAGUUGCUGGAUCUCUUCUGACGCUGAGGCGCGAAAGCUAGGGGAGCAAACGGGAUUAGAAACCCGCGUAGUCC